UACGGGGGGGCCAAGCGUUGUUCGGAAUUACUGGGCGUAAAGGGCUCGUAGGCGGCCAACUAAGUCAGACGUGAAAUCCCUCGGCUUAACCGGGGAACUGCGUCUGAUACUGGAUGGCUUGAGAUUGGGAGAGGGAUGCGGAAUUCCAGGUGUAGCGGUGAAAUGCGUAGAUAUCUGGAGGAACACCGGUGGCGAAGGCGGCAUCCUGGACCAACACUGACGCUGAGGAGCGAAAGCCAGGGGAGCAAACGGG
RNAcentral lists this ribosomal RNA (253 nucleotides) under uncultured bacterium. Its description in RNAcentral is "partial 16S ribosomal RNA". It matches the Rfam family "Bacterial small subunit ribosomal RNA", at positions 524 to 776 of the family's 1533-position model. The record is from RNAcentral.